CAGGGAAUUUAAUUAUAUAGAAAAGGGUCUAAGAUGACUCCAAGCUUCUAGCUAAGGCAAUUAGGAAAAAAUGUAGAAAAGCCUUAUACUUAUUAAAUAUUUUCUAUAUGCCAGACGUUGUGCUAGUUGGACAUGUCCAUGAACUUACUGAAUCCUCAUAGUAACACUGUGACGUAGAUAUAUUAUUACCUCAACCUCAGAUGAAAAAUAGAGAGUUAGAGAUGUAAUUUUCACAAGACACACAAAGUGGCAAAGAAGUUUUAGAGGUAGGUGCGUCCAAUUGCCUUACCCAUCAGACAAUAUUGUACCCUCCUUACCACCAUGGGUGGAUGGGUCCUGGGCACCAAGACAGCAAAUUCCGAAUGAAGAGCAGGUUUGAGAGGCAACCCAACAUGGAAGGAUGGAGGAAAGACAAAUGUGAGGUGACGAAGUAAACAAGCACUGAACGGUAACUCGGGAGCCCGGGGAUUGGUUCUUCAGCCUGGGAUGUCCAAGGUCAAGGCACCAGAAGAUGGGAUAUCUGGGGAGAGCCCGCUGCGACUUGCAGAUGGCUAUGUCCACGGAUGUAGCCUCCCGUGACAGCUAGCAGAGGAAGGAAGCAAGCUCUCUUCUUAUACGGGUGUCCUAAAAAAAGGCUCCUUCGACCUACCAGGCUCCCAGUGGGGUGCACGGAACACAGAAGGCUAGGAGUCCCCACUGUGCCAGCUGGGCCAGGGACAGUCCCCGGGGAACCUUGGCUGCCAGGAGCUGUGGUUGCUGCAACACAUCCUUUACAAUCAGAAAAGACCAGAACGAUUUCCAUCCAGGGCUGAAUGAUAGAAAGCUGAUUUUUAAAAUGCAGGUAACCAAUCUGACAGUGACGUUUCAGUGAAGAACAAAUGACUGAAAUUUGAUAGAAGUUUUGCUUUUGCACAUUGCCAGGCUCACCUGUCUUUCCAGAAGCCCGUUUCUCUUCCUGGCUGCCUGAGGAUUCCGGAGCGGGAAAUCCUGACCCCGCACUGUGGCCCGCUUCCGCCGGGCUCUCCAUCACGUGGCUCACCCUCUCUGAACACAUGCGUGAGAGCAUCGAGACCCUUCCAGAUUCAAAAGAAACUCUUGUGUUGAGAUUUUGCAGUAAAGCAAAGAUGAAUAACUACUGCCCUCGUUGUUGCUCCCUUAGCAGCUCUGUUUACGUAUUUUGGACUGCAUUGUUUUCUUUGAAAAGGGAU
Long non-coding RNA from Canis lupus familiaris (dog), 1208 nucleotides. RefSeq lists it as uncharacterized. NCBI's taxonomy places the organism in Eukaryota, Metazoa, Chordata, Mammalia, Carnivora, Canidae. The transcript has 4 exons. The record is from RefSeq and is a predicted model, not a curated record.